This 1322-nucleotide long non-coding RNA is filed under the name Bos grunniens (domestic yak). RNAcentral's name for it is "lncRNA (ENSBGRG00000005543.1)". Lineage: Eukaryota; Metazoa; Chordata; Mammalia; Artiodactyla; Bovidae. The record is from RNAcentral.
CAACGCCCAGCCCCACCACCUGCCAGCUCUGUGCCUUGGGUCUUGUGCCUUAACCUGUCUGAGCCUUUCUCUCUCUACAAAACGACCCGGAGACACCGACCUCUAGGGUGAGGAUACAGUGAGGGGCCUGUGUAGCUGGGACAGGCAGAGCAUGGACACACAGGCCCCUCCCUGCCGCGUCCCUCCCCUCUGUGAGUUCCAGGUUUAUGUCCCAGGACAGAAAGAGAGGCAGGAGGGAUAAAUGAGGUAUAGCUUCCUGGAAGGCCCUUGCCCUCAAAGACGGUGUCUUCCUUGAUGCAGGUAACUUUUAAAGUCUCCCUUUAUUCCUGAAAGUAAAUAUAAAUAUAGCACAAGAUGAAGCUCGAAAUUUGCAUGAAGUUUUAAGAUAAAACACGACACCCGCCCCCCAAAAAAUGUUACUUUCAACAGACCUCCAGAGACGCAUGACAAGAAAGUUCAAGAGGCACGCCUUAGCAUUUUUUCCAAAGCCUUGAUCGUCAGUAGGGAGAAAGGCCAACCUCCCUGCCAGAUGUACCCCAAACCCUGAGAAGUGGGGAGGCGGGUGGGAGCAGAGGGCAGGACCUCCACCCGCUCCAGGGCACGGCAAAUAACAAGGAGCUGAGGCAGGCAGCUGGGGGUGGAUGGGCUGGCACCUUAAGUGUCCUAGUUAAUGCCCAGCUGAGCCUGGGUGAGGAAGGGGGAUGGAGGUGUGGGAAGACACCGCCCCCCCCCCCAACCCCAGACACAGGCAGGCACACCGCAGCCAGUCUCUCACUUCCCUUUUUAUUUCCUCUGAGAUCUACAGGCAGCAGCGUCAGGGAGAGAACCUGCCCUUCAGGCCCCAGGAGGAGAAGGGAGUUCCACACGCGAUCACAUGUACCCUGGGCCCUGCACAGCUGAGGGGUCACUUGUUCGCUGACCCCACAGGCCCCCAGAAGGCACCAGCAGGUAGGCUCCUCAGACGAGGCCCAGAGGAAGUGCAGGGCUGCACCCUGGGCCCUCCAACCCCAGGCUCGAGAAGGUGCGAUCCUGGCACAGGGGCGCGUCUUCGGUCAAUGGAGCAUGGCUUUGGGGAUUUCUUUUUUUCUUUCUUUUCCACACGUCCCCACAAAAUAGAACUUCUCCCGUUAUUUAUAAAUCCGUGGUCCCUGGCGCUGUGCGGAGGUCACAGGAGAGACAGUGCCUCUGUGCAGGCCACGGCCGCCUGUGGUCCAGGCCGGGACUCGGGGCCUAGGCUGCCACCUUGGGGCCGCCGUGCGUCUUCAGGGCCCCCAGCAGGCGACAUCUGCCCUCUGAGCCGGGCACGGCAGCAGAAGAGGUAG